Strongylocentrotus purpuratus (purple sea urchin) is the source of this 236-nucleotide long non-coding RNA. RefSeq lists it as uncharacterized. Lineage: Eukaryota; Metazoa; Echinodermata; Echinoidea; Camarodonta; Strongylocentrotidae. The transcript has 3 exons. The record is from RefSeq and is a predicted model, not a curated record.
GAUGCCACUGUAAGUAGUAUCCCUAUUACAGCGCCCCCAGAGGGAGGUAAGGAUUCAGGCAAAUCGACAGGCAACGAAGACCCUAUUACUGGAAAAAGAUACGCUCUGACAUACUUAUAUCCCGUCAUGAUAGUGGCGCUUGGACUUGGGGUACCAACCCUUACUGCAUGCUACUACCUUUGUCGAAAGCGAACACCCGCAGAGAUACAGGAGCAGCGAUUAAUCGAAGACAGGAA